Molecule: unclassified non-coding RNA, 305 nt
Filed under: plant metagenome
Description: partial contains 5.8S ribosomal RNA, internal transcribed spacer 2, and large subunit ribosomal RNA
Rfam family: 5.8S ribosomal RNA (bases 1-105)
Source: RNAcentral
GAAAUGCGAUAAGUAGUGUGAAUUGCAGAAUUCAGUGAAUCAUCGAAUCUUUGAACGCACAUUGCGCCCCUUGGUAUUCCAUGGGGCAUGCCUGUUCGAGCGUCAUCUACACCCUCAAGCUCUGCUUGGUGUUGGGCGUCUUUGUCCCGCCUCCGCGCGCGGACUCGCCCCAAAUUCAUUGGCAGCGGUCCUUGCCUCCUCUCGCGCAGCACAUUGCGCUUCUCGAGGUGUUGCGGCCCGCGUCCAGAAAGCAAUCGUUACCGUCUUUGACCUCGGAUCAGGUAGGGAUACCCGCUGAACUUAAG